This 316-nucleotide ribosomal RNA is filed under the name uncultured eukaryote. Its description in RNAcentral is "partial 18S ribosomal RNA". It matches the Rfam family "Eukaryotic small subunit ribosomal RNA", at positions 1470 to 1796 of the family's 1831-position model. The record is from RNAcentral.
CCCUUAGAUGUUCUGGGCUGCACGCGCGCUACACUGAUGCGCUCAACGAGCUUAUGUCCUUGCCUGGAAAGGUUGGGUAAUCUUUUUAAAACGCAUCGUGAUGGGGAUAGAUUAUUGCAAUUAUUAAUCUUCAACGAGGAAUUCCUAGUAAGCGCGAGUCAUCAGCUCGUGCUGAUUACGUCCCUGCCCUUUGUACACACCGCCCGUCGCACCUACCGAUUGAAUGGUCCGGUGAAGCCUCCGGAUUGGCGCGCACCUCGGUGCCGCCGAGAAGUUGGCUAAACCUUACCAUUUAGAGGAAGGUGAANUCGUAACA